Long non-coding RNA from Siniperca chuatsi (mandarin fish), 4656 nucleotides. RefSeq lists it as uncharacterized. NCBI's taxonomy places the organism in Eukaryota, Metazoa, Chordata, Actinopteri, Centrarchiformes, Sinipercidae. The transcript has 2 exons. The record is from RefSeq and is a predicted model, not a curated record.
GAACUGGCAGCUCUGCCUCUAGACUCUCAUAUGGACAGUGGAUCUCUUGGGACAACUGGUUGAAAGUCUCUCUCUGUCUGUACUGUUACUCCUGGCUGUGUGUGAGUGGGUGAGUGGGCUGGUGCUCUGCUGUGUCUCCAGAGUGAUUUAUCAGGUUUGCAGGGAGGAGACAGAGGGGGAGACAACUCCGGUAGCAGGGCAGGCAGCAGUUACCAGCCUGCUGGCUGGGUGUGUUAACUCCACAUCUGACCUCUAUGGGAACAGAGCAGCCUCCAGUCCUCUCCUUUCCCUCCUCCUGGCAGACUGUGGGAACAAGAAGGACAGAUCUUCAUUUUACCCCCUCUCUCUGCUUCUCACUGGGCUGUCGAGCUCUGGGAAGCAGCCUUGGACAGAGCAGGACAUGACAAGACAGGACAGCUUUGGCAGCGAGAACUCAGCGGGAGACCUGGGCUCUGAGGAUUGCACUGCCGACUGAUUCUUGGAUCUGAAAUGCCACAGUUGGCAAAGUCACGCUGUCAGUCAGGCAGCCAUGCAGUUGUCUCAUCAGUCAUUAGGCAGUCAGAUGAUUAGUUAGUCAGCCAGUAAAUUGGUCAGUGGGGUCCUCCCCUUAGGGUCAACUCUUCCACUGCAUAUCCUCAUCUGAACUCUGAGGUGACUCAGACUUACCGAGUAGCAAAAAUGGACCUAUGGGCAUGGUCACAGGUGCUCCACAGCUGCUGUGGACAAAGGCAUCUGGAGCCCAGGAGGAUGCUGGAGAAGAUACAGAGGGCAGAGAAGGGCAGAGAGAUGCAGGGAGGAUCCAGCCCCUGCCCCCAGCUGUGGUGGGGAGGGUUCCUGGCACCGUGAUUUGAUGCACAAAGAGAAACAAAAAUCACAUUGCCAGGGAUUUCCACUCUAUCACAGCUCAGCAGGUGACCGCGUUAUAUUUCCACAGUGGGAUGCUUUUGUGUAGUCUUCUUGGCUGUGCUGUUUUUUUUUCCAGUUAUUAUCUGACACUGGAUGUUGCUAUGGAGUCGAAGGAAUAAAUAUUGGAGAGGUUAGACGGAUAUUGUGAUCUACUCUCUCAGUGGACUUCAAGAGGAGUCAGUUUCUUGCACAGAAAAUGGCGAAAGAACACGUGUCUCCCUUAAAUACUGUCUAAAUGCAUUUAAUGCUGCAGUUAAAUGUGUAGCUGUCUGAAAUUUAAACUGUCUUCAUUAUUCUCCCCUUUCAAAUCAGCCAGGAAGUCGAUGUAAAUGCACAUGAGAGCCAUAUAGGUUUACACGAUAGAACAAAUUUUUGGAGGCAGAUCACGUUUCGGCUCCUGGAACUUAGAUUUAUAAACAAGGAGACGAUUUUGAUGUUUAAAAUGAAGGCUAAGAUCCUCCAUUGGCAGCACACUCUGAAACACAAUCCAAAUGAGCCACGUUGAAGGCGAAGCAAACCUCAACAUCAUAAGCACUGCAGGCUUUGAAACCCGCCAAACUUUACCACUGAGCAGUCAUGUAAAGGUCUGCGUGAGUCUCUGUUCCCUCAAAAGCCAGCCACACACUUGCUAAAGGCACAGAGCUUAGCUAAUUGGUGAGCAUUGAUCCCUGCUAUGUGUUGUUCACAGUGGCUAAGUUCAGUGCCUGAGGUGAAAUAGUUGAUUCGACGGAGGGGAUUUGUUCCGGUGAAUGGAAAGAACUUGAUGAUCUCGGAUAUGAGGAAAGGAGGAGGGAGGAGGAGAGGAGUGACGAGAGAUUAGGUGGAGAGGGAGGGAGAGAGGCUGGGAAGACAGAAAGACUAAAGGUCCCAUGCAGGAGCUACUUAAGGUUAAAUGUGUUGCUGUGGACCAAAUGCAGGCUUAAAUUUGCAAUACGGUCCAGAUGUAAGACAAGCUGUACCAUUUUUUUUAUAGUGUUUGCCUGAAGCAAUAACUGUCUUAUCUUACCUUAUGCAUCUGGCAAGAAUCAUCAUGCAUACCAAAUAUAUUUGAAAGCGCUUCAGUGAGACAGAUUGACCCAGGUUUAAUGUGGACUUAAAAAUGCCACAGGUUGUAUUGCGAUUUUAGGAAUGUGUUGCUAAAUGUCAGACCCGUCUGGGCAUGUCCAGUUCAGGUCCAACUGAGUUUGCUCAGGACUAGUGUGCCAGUAUUUUGGUGCGACAUGGCGGCCAGCCUGGACUUAUGUGUUGGAGAAGAAACCUGCAUACGCCUCAUUAGCUGUUUGAUAAACCCCUCCCCAAGCAGCGAUUGUCUAAUCAUAGCUUAGCAACCGUAACUAGGCACGACAGGCCUGUCAAGCUUUGAAUUUCUCCACAAGCUAAAGUGGUGUGCAUGGGCCUUAAGAGAGAGUUUGGAGAUUUGUGUCUUUUUAUAGCUUUUUUUAAAACCAAAAACACAAUGGAUUAAAUAGUGUGUUUAUCUGCUCUGACGCAAGCUACAGUUGUUAGUAUAUUACUGUACUAGUAUAUUACUUCCAAGGCCAAGAAGUACAUCAUUAAUUAACAUCAUUAGUCUGUGGAGUUACAGCUUAUGUAAAAAAAAAAAAAAAAAAAAAAAAGCCCUGUUCACAACUAGCUGUGUAUUAUUUCUCCACUGUGUGGAUGUUAUCAGAGUGUAGGCUAACAUUAGCAGCUCUGUCCUGCUCUUUAUUAGAUUUGGGGAAGUUUACAACCAGUCAACUUACUCGACAAAGGUUGGUUAGUCCUCAUCCUAAAACCCUUUUCUCUUGUAACGUUAUAAGUGAAAACAUACUGGUUGAAAAUAACAACACGUAAGGGUUAUGUUAGAGCAAAAUAACAGCCUGGCUUUACAUUUUUCCUGGUCAUGCAUACAAUAAUACUAGGACUAACUAAGCUUUACACUGCAAUACAGGAAGAAUGCUGCUUCUUUAUUUAUUGUCUUCUAUAUUAUAUCAUCAACUGGUGAGGAUGCUAACUUUCUGCCUGGGAUAUUAACCUCAGUGUUUUAGCACAAUAUACUGUAUGUGGCCAAUAAAUGGAUAAAGACCUUUUUUUGUUUGUUUUUUACAAGAUUCUCAUUUUAAAACGAGUCAAAUGGACACAUAAAAAUGUUAGCCGGAGAUAGUGUUUUAAACCGUUAAACCUUCAAACCUAAACUAAUGUUAGCUUAAUUAGCUAGUAGCUAUUGAUCAAAUCUGCCUAUGAUAGCUGUCAUUUCAGCUAGAAAAAUAAGCUAGAAAUGAGACGUUGCAUUUGUCUACUACUUUUUGAAAUGAAGGAAAUUGAUUACUAAGAUUUUUUUGUUGUAAUUCUGCCGCUGUUAUCAUUGUAAACAGCAUACGUGCCAGGAGAGAACGGAAAGCUCGACAGGCGUAGCAGCUGCUGGUAAAUUCACCCUAACACUGUUGUUACAGUGCAUGUUGGGUAUCUAUUUGCCCUGUUGUUGGUUUUAAAAAACGCCUUCUGUAUUAGCAUGCAGAUUGCACACUUGUCAAACGAAGCCAUGUCCGGGCUGUGCCCUCCCGUGCCUACUGAACUGGUAUCAGUGUUUUAUCUGAAAACUGGCUCAGUUCAGCAGGAACAGGAGUGGAGCCCACUAACUAGCGGGAUCAACAUCCCGUGUUACCUCACCAACUUCCACUGAACUAGACAGCCCAGCCCAGAUGCAACAUUUCUCUUACAGUGCUCUAGUGUUUAGUUGACCACACCCACCGGAGAUCAGUGUGGGACGUUUGCCUAGAGUCAGUGGCCCUGAUGAAAAUCAAACCCAAGCCUGCCAACCUGUCAGACAACUGCACUGAACCCUGAAGUCUAUUCAAGGCGGUGCUGCUCACGUUAGAUGACUGUCCCUUUCUUUGCUAAAAUAUGAAUGUUUCAUAAGCAGAUUUACCAUUUUUUGCUUGAUAGGUAGGCUCUGGCGUCCUGAGCUGCUGUGUGAAUACUGUUACAUACUGAUGCAGUCGAUCUUGUUGUUCUGCUCAGCCUUCAUGUUUAAAUUCAGCAUUCUUCCCUUGAAAAGGGUGUAAACACGUCUCUCACUCUUCGCCAGUGUCUGACUCUCUCUCUUUCUUUCUGUCUUUCUGCGCUGUCAAAGGCCAGACUGAGACUGGAUUUCAUUGUCAGGUAAUCCCAGUGAAAUGUCUGCUAUGCCUGUAUAAUUGAUGUCGCCCAGCAGUCCCCAUUAUCAGUGUUUGGGAAUGUGUGCAAUGCUGCUUCCUCCCCACUCUCCAGAUAACUCGCCAGCCACCAAAGGAAAAGUGCUUCAUCUUGAAGAUUUCAUACCCACGGGAAAAUGAAAGCUCAUUAGCAAGCAUGAUGAAUCUGCUCUUAUCCAGCAACUCCAUUGAUUGUGGUCAGCACCAUAAAAUUAUAUUUCUGUUACUUUGAGUUUCUGCGGAUAAAUGAUCCAUUCAAACCUUGAGGAGAUCACGCAAAGAAAGGUUAGAAAGUUGUUUUUUCAUUGUGUCAGCGGUGUGAUAUUGACUUCAGGGCAUUGUUUCAGCCAAGUAGUAUCACUGACAAGUUAGCUAUGAUUUGUGUAAGUAUUUAAUCUAACUGAUUGUGGAAGACAACGGUGCAUGAAGUGCAUUACUCUAAAUGUCAGUAAGUUUCUAACUGCUUUCAACCAAUUGGAGCAUGAUUUAUAUUGAUGUUACAGGUGCAACCAAUGUUUCAUUUCAUUACUAAUCCAGCCACGAUUCAAUGUAAUAAAGUUUCAAUGAGCCCGAAAAA